RNAcentral lists this non-coding RNA (27 nucleotides) under Cricetulus griseus (Chinese hamster). Lineage: Eukaryota; Metazoa; Chordata; Mammalia; Rodentia; Cricetidae. The record is from RNAcentral.
CAAUCCAUACCACUAGAGAAGUUAGGC